RNAcentral lists this ribosomal RNA (468 nucleotides) under uncultured bacterium. RNAcentral describes it as "partial 16S ribosomal RNA". The stretch from base 20 to 332 matches the Rfam family "Bacterial small subunit ribosomal RNA", at positions 47 to 358 of the family's 1533-position model. The record is from RNAcentral.
GACGAACGCUGGCGGCGUGCUUAACACAUGCAAGUCGAACGGAAAGGCCCUGCUUUUGUGGGGUGCUCGAGUGGCGAACGGGUGAGUAACACGUGAGUAACCUGCCCUUGACUUUGGGAUAACUUCAGGAAACUGGGGCUAAUACCGGAUAGGAGCUCCUGCUGCAUGGUGGGGGUUGGAAAGUUUCGGCGGUUGGGGAUGGACUCGCGGCUUAUCAGCUUGUUGGUGGGGUAGUGGCUUACCAAGGCUUUGACGGGUAGCCGGCCUGAGAGGGUGACCGGGGCCACAGUGAGAGAGAGAGAGGCCAGAGACUCAUGGGAGGGAGAAGUGGGGGAAAUAGUGCAAAAGGGGGGAAAGCGAGGUGCAAAAGCCGCGCGUGGGAUAAGGGGGCGUGGGGGGUAAAAAGCGUUUGCGGGUGAGGAAGAGGGAGAGACGGGAAAAGGGGAAGAAGCAACGGGCAACUACGUG